Molecule: ribosomal RNA, 435 nt
Filed under: uncultured bacterium
Lineage: Bacteria
Description: partial 16S ribosomal RNA
Rfam family: Bacterial small subunit ribosomal RNA
Source: RNAcentral
AACGAACGCUGGCGGCAUGCCUAACACAUGCAAGUCGAACGAUUGCCUUCGGGUGAUAGUGGCGCACGGGUGCGUAACGCGUGGUAAUCUGCCCUUAGGUUCGGAAUAACAGCUGGAAACGGCUGCUAAUACCGGAUGAUAUCGCGAGAUCAAAGAUUUAUCGCCUGAGGAUGAGCCCGCGUUGGAUUAGGUAGUUGGUGGGGUAAAGGCCUACCAAGCCGACGAUCCAUAGCUGGUCUGAGAGGAUGAUCAGCCACACUGGGACUGAGACACGGCCCAGAAUCCUACGGGAGGCAGCAGUGGGGAAUAUUGGAAAAUGGGCGCAAGCCUGAUCCAGCAAUGACGCGUGAGUGAUGAAGGCACUAGGGUUGUAAAGCUCUUUUAACCGGGAAGAUAAUGACUGUACCGGGAGAAUAAGCCCCGGCUAACUCCGUG